Long non-coding RNA from Leopardus geoffroyi (Geoffroy's cat), 2895 nucleotides. RefSeq lists it as uncharacterized. The record is from RefSeq and is a predicted model, not a curated record. The transcript has 3 exons. NCBI's taxonomy places the organism in Eukaryota, Metazoa, Chordata, Mammalia, Carnivora, Felidae.
CGGUCACAAUCCCUAGACCCAAAGGGACAAGCUGGAGGGCAUGGAGACCUGAGUACAGGAGGAGGGGCAGUAAUGCUUUGAGAUGAACAGUGACCUUGGUUGAGGGACACAGCGGCCCGAGGUGCCCCCAGAGUGAGAAUGCAGGUUUGGGGGGCACGACACAACCUGAGAUCUCGCUCUCCAUUUCCUUCUGCUCUCCCGGUAAUGGUCCCCUUUGGCUGGACCCAACUAGACAUCAUCAGAUGAUGAAUUUCACACAGGCUGGCCUCCCCGUUGGAGAUCAAGGCCCAGAAGGUAGAACAUGGACUUUGGAGAGAGACAGGAGACGCCUCAUACGGCAAGGCUACAUGAAGCUCUUACCGUAGACACAGCUCAGAGGUGUGAACGAACGCAGGCCUUGUAAAACGACUUACGAAGAUCUGCUCUGGUUUGAGUUCAUCUGUGGUGGAUGUGGUGUGGUCCAUCGGAAUCCAAACUAUGGCUUCUAGAGACUGUGAUACUCGCUCUUUCUUCUAAGGUUUUUCCUACUUGGUUUUCAGGCUUCUCUUCUAGUGGCUGUAUUUUUUUCUGUAGCCUCUGUCACGCUACCCGAAUCACGCUGGGAAGGCACACCACAGGUGAUGGCAAUGCCACGGAAAGUGCAACGGGCCAGAAACCUCUCACGGCUGAGCACAUUGCUACCAGAAUUACUCACGCAGGCACCUACAGCACAUUCCUACAAUGCCACUUCUCCUUGGGACCAUUGCUCUGCUCUUUCCUGGGGUUGUUCUGUCAUUUUCUUUUUCCUCAGCAAGGCUGGGGAUGUGGAAAUGAAGAAAGGCAGAAGUUGAAAUUUGUUGUAAUACUAGCUGACAUCUGAACGCUGGGAUCGCUGUGUUAGAGGAAGGAAUGGAUGUAUUUACCAAAUAGCGCCAAUCCCCCUUUCCGCCUUCGUUUCAAAUUCUGCAGGAAAAAAGACAGCUCUGAAAAUUUACGAGCCAUAACGUGCUCUUCAUUACUUGGUCACAGGGUAAGCAACCAGCACCCAAGCCUAAGGGUCACCUGCAGGUCUGGAAAUCUUUGUAACUUUAUAGGGAGGUUCAUUGGCUCCAGGAGGAGUGAUGAGGUGCUGAGAAGCCACUCAUUCACCAGGGAACUGCUAAGCAGUUUCGUGAUAAAUAAGGAUAUACAUAUGCACAGAGCUCUUUCGUUAGAACAUUUCCCCCAAACAUGAGAAUCUCAGUUAAUUGUUACAGUGGCCCCCUGAAUGGGGCAGGGCAGGCCUCGCAAACUUCCAUUUCAGAUGAGAAAUUGAGCCUCACAGGCCAUAGGGCCUGCCAGGGUCCUGUGGCUGGGAAAUAGCAGAGGUGCUGGAAAUGAAUUCCAAUUUCCAAUUUUUUUUUUUUUUUUAAAUCACAACAGUUUCCAAUGGAAGCUUUCAAAGCAGAGACUUGUCUAGCCCUUUUACUGUUCGCAGAAAAUUCGAGGGUGUUGAGAUAAUCGGGAACUUUUCCUUUACCGAGUUUGUUUAUGAAUUUGUCCAAUGAAAAGAGAAGUGUGGCUGGAGGUAAAAUCAGACUCUGUUGGAACUUCUGUUCAAAUACCUCUUUCCUUGUUUUUUCCUCUUCGGGAUCCUGGUCACAGGACGGGAAGCCUGUUUCUCUCUUUGCUGUCAUACUCGCUCUUAGUAAAACGAGGACUCGUGGCAGCAUUGUGAACAGUGGAGUUCUACGAUCUGACUUCUAGUUUUACAAAGACUCCCCUGGCCACUGUGCUGAGAGCAGACAUUGGAUUUUGACAGCAGAGCCUACAGGAUUUCCUGACAAUGUAGAUGUGGCUUAUGAAAGAAAGAGAGGAGUCAAGGAUCAAUACAAGUGUUUGGCCCAAGCCACUGAAGGAAGGAGGUGCCAUCAAUGAAGAUGGGGAAGAAUGAGGUGAAGCCUCUGAAGGAAGAUCAACAGGAGGAAGAUUCAUCAUGUUUACAAUCCCAGGGAUUUUUCAGGGCAUGUAUACCAGGGGCCAGGAAUCUUGAGGGACCACCUUAGAACUCUGCCUAUCGCAAUAUCCAAGAGAAAAUGUUGAAUAGAAGUUUGGAUAUUCACAUUUAGAGUUCAGGAGAGAAAAUUUGGGAAUCAUUGUGGUACAGAUAGUACUUAAAGCUGGGAGGCUGAGCUCACUACAAGUGACUCUGGAUAUUGAAGAGAAGAGGCUCAAAGACUGGGCUCCGGGCAAUGUUCAUCUUGAAAGAUCUGGCAAAAGAGAAGAAACUAUGAAAAGGAAACUGAGAAGCGGUGAUCAGCCAGGUGGCAAGAAAUCCAAGAACGUGGUAUUCCGGAAGAUGAGUUUUAAAAAAGGAUAUCAAAUACCAAUAUCAAUUGUAUCAAUUGUAUCAAAUGCUGCUGCUCGAUCAAGUAACAUGAACAAAAAGAAUUGAUCUUUAGAUUUAGCAACAUGGGGGUCUUCAGUGACUUUGAUGAGAAUGUUUUUUUUUCUAGAGAGGAGAGACAGCAAGUCUGUCAAAAGUGACAUAAGACAGAAUGUGAGGAGACGAAUAUGAAAUAGUCACUCUAGACUAUGCUUUGAGAUUUGCCUUAAAGGGAGUUGUGAAACGAUGGUAGCUUGUGCAAACAAAAGUGGAGUCAAAGAUGGGAAUAAAAGUGUGGUUAAAGAUGGGGUAAAUGACAGCAUGUUUGUAGGUUGAAGGAAAUGGUUAGUUUGAAAGGAAAAACAUUAAUAAUGCGGCAUAGAGAGGUGAGAAAUGCCGGUGUGGCCUUGAAUAGGCAGAAGACUGAAAAUCAAAUACAUAAAUGGAUGGGUCAGCUUUAGAUAAGAGCAUAGAAUGUCCUUCUAUAGUAAUUAAAAAUGAUGAUUAAUCUCAUUUUGUGUCCUUUUGCACAAAUAAAAAAAUCAAAUGUA